AGAGUUUGAUUCUGGCUCAGGAUGAACGCUGGCGGCGUGCUUAACACAUGCAAGUCGAACGGAGUUUUUAAACGGAAGUUUUCGGAUGGAAGUUUAGAAACUUAGUGGCGGACGGGUGAGUAACGCGUGGGUAACCUGCCUCAUACAGGGGGAUAACAGUUAGAAAUGACUGCUAACACCGCAUAAUAUAGCGAAACCGCAUGAUUUUGCUAUCAAAUAUUUAUAGGUAUGAGAUGGGCCCGCGUCUGAUUAGCUAGUUGGUGGGGUAAAAGCCUACCAAGGCGACGAUCAGUAGCCGGCUUGAGAGAGUGACCGGCCACAUUGGGACUGAGACACGGCCCAAACUCCUACGGGAGGCAGCAGUGGGGAAUAUUGGACAAUGGGGGAAACCCUGAUCCAGCCGACGCCGCGUGAGUGAAGAAGUAUUUCGGUAUGUAAAGCCCUAUCAGCAGGGAAGAUAAUGACAGUACCUGACUAAGAAGCCCCGGCUAACUACGUGCCAGCCGCAGC
RNAcentral lists this ribosomal RNA (510 nucleotides) under uncultured bacterium. RNAcentral describes it as "bacterial SSU rRNA". It matches the Rfam family "Bacterial small subunit ribosomal RNA", at positions 8 to 518 of the family's 1533-position model. The record is from RNAcentral.